UGGKUGGAUUAGUGGCGAACGGGUGAGUAACACGUGAGUAACCUGCCCUUAACUCUGGGAUAAGCCUGGGAAACUGGGUCUAAUACCGGAUAGGAGCGUCCACCGCAUGGUGGGUGUUGGAAAGAUUUAUCGGUUUUGGAUGGACUCGCGGCCUAUCAGCUUGUUGGUGAGGUAAUGGCUCACCAAGGCGACGACGGGUAGCCGGCCUGAGAGGGUGACCGGCCACACUGGGACUGAGACACGGCCCAGACUCCUACGGGAGGCAGCAGUGGGGAAUAUUGCACAAUGGGCGAAAGCCUGAUGCAGCGACKCCGCGUGAGGGAUGACGGCCUUCGGGUUGUAAACCUCUUUCAGUAGGGAAGAAGCGAAAGUGACGGUACCUGCAGAAGAAGCACCGGCUAACUACGUGCCAGCAGCCGCGGUAAUACGUAGGGUGCGAGCGUUAUCCGGAAUUAUUGGGCGUAAAGAGCUCGUAGGCGGUUUGUCGCGUCUGUCGUGAAAGUCCGGGGCUUAACCCCGGAUCUGCGGUGGGUACGGGCAGACUASAGUGCAGUAGGGGAGACUGGAAUUCCUGGUGUAGCGGUGGAAUGCCCAGAUAUCAGGAGGAACACCGAUGGCGAAAGCAGGUCUCUGGGCUGUAACUGACGCUGASGAGCGAAAGCAUGGGGAGCGAACAGGAUUAGAUACCCUGGUAGUCCAUGCCGUAAA
This 708-nucleotide ribosomal RNA is filed under the name Micrococcus luteus. Its description in RNAcentral is "bacterial SSU rRNA". It matches the Rfam family "Bacterial small subunit ribosomal RNA", at positions 84 to 806 of the family's 1533-position model. The record is from RNAcentral. Lineage: Bacteria; Bacillati; Actinomycetota; Actinomycetes; Micrococcales; Micrococcaceae.